CUCUAUGGAUGGGGCAUCUACCACCUCUCAGGGCAACCUGUGCCAGUGCCUCAUUGCUCUUAUUGCGAAAAACUUCUUCCUUAUAUCCAAUCUGAAUUUCCCCUCUUUUAGUUUGAAAACAUUUCCCAUUGUCCUGUCACAAUAGAACCUGCUGAAGACUCUGUGCCCUUCUUUCUUAUAGCUCCUCUUCAGAUACAGAAAGGCUGCUCUACUGCUACCACCUGCCCAAGGGUGCAGGAGGUGUAGCAUGCCUCAGUUCCCUUGUUGCCCCCUUCGUGUCACCUGGCAGAGCAAGGAGAAGGCAGAAGAGCAUGCCUCAUGCCCAGAGGCAGCUCCUUGAGAGCACUGUGCAGAACUCAUUCUUCAUUUCAGGUUCAAAGGAGCAGUAAAUAGGCUCCUUUCUUACUGCACCUCAGGAACGGCUGCAAAGUGGUGAUGGGGGAGAUGAUGCUAUGCCACUGUUCAGCACACAUGCAGGAAGCCUGUUCCUUGAGGAGUAAGGAAGGGAGAGACACAAACUAUUCUUCAUUUCCAGGAAGCUAGAAAUUUGCUUCUUUCGUGUUAGUAGCUCUUCCUAGCACAGCAAGCUGGUGGUUCUUCAUCUUAAGGGCAAGCUGGGUGAUAAAGGUGGGCUGAUAGCAGCUUUCUGCAAUGCCUAACAGAUAUUACAUGGAAGAAAACACUGUUCCUGCACACUGGGACACCUGAGAAGCCUGUUCCCUGCUCCACGUGUUAGCAGUGCAGCUGUUAAAGCUCUGGAACAUUUUUGGACAAAGAGCGCUAUGUUCCUCCGUUGUGAAUUGGAAAGCAGCAGCAGCACUUUGUUCUCAGUGUCUCCAUCUCCUCGUUUUGUUGCCAUCAUCUUCACAUCAUCUUCUUCCGAAAUGGUGCGUGUUGGCUUGAGGUUCUUACAAGGAAUGUGCUACAGAUGGAUAAUUGGUGAAGGAAGCAGGACUAUAGAAUGGGGCAGGGUAGGUGAUGAUGGUACAAAUGCUCUGGGUACCACUUGGUCUGGGAGACAUGGGUCUGUGUCCAUGAAGAUGGGCAGACUGGGGAAGGUCAGUGCUGGGAUGUGGCUGGGGUAAGGUGUCCACCACCUCUCACUGACCACUAGGAGCUUCUCUGGGAGUAGGUUCCUCAAGCUAUUAUGGUUCAGUUGACCUGAAAAGAGGUUGAGAAGAACUCUGAAGGCAGUCAGCAGCUCUGGAGCUAUCCAUUCCCCAAGGAGGAAGGUAAGCUCCUAAGCCCUGGAUAAAAU
This 1258-nucleotide long non-coding RNA is filed under the name Numida meleagris (helmeted guineafowl). Its description in RNAcentral is "lncRNA (ENSNMEG00000020733.1)". The record is from RNAcentral. Lineage: Eukaryota; Metazoa; Chordata; Aves; Galliformes; Numididae.